RNAcentral lists this non-coding RNA (22 nucleotides) under Arabidopsis thaliana (thale cress). The record is from RNAcentral. Lineage: Eukaryota; Viridiplantae; Streptophyta; Magnoliopsida; Brassicales; Brassicaceae.
CAAUGGCCCUUUGGAUUCACUU